UUUCCCGUGAACCCUAAAAUCAAGGUAAGGGUUUCUGAUUUUGGAGGUUGGUUCUGAUUCGAUAGGGUUUGGAUUUGUGAAGGUUUGAUGUUAUGUGGGUCUGUUGAUUUUGUUCAGUUGAUAGGGUUUGAGGUUCUGAUUUGAUAGGAUUUAGGAUUUGUGAGCAUUUGUGAGGGUAGGAAUCCCAGCACCAACUCGAAAGAAAUGAGUUUGACUUGCAGGCGUCCAUGUCAAUCUGCUAUGGGAUUCCUAUCUAUGUUUUCCAGUUGCAACAUGGUUGAACAAUGGACUGGAUUCGAACUUCUGCAGAAAGCGCUUUCUGUAUUUAACUUUUCCAAAGCUGGCAACAAUUGAACUAAACUUCUGCUGCCUUUCAAAUUUCUUUAAUUCUAAAGGAGCUCUUUUCGUCAUGGCAAGGUUGUUCGAUGUAUGGGGAAGGCGGGGGUUCGUGAGACGGGUGCCUCCUCUUCCAGAUCAUCCACAGGAGAGGUCAAUUCCCUGAAGGAGGAAGUGACAACCCUAAAAGGUCAGCUUGAGGCCCAGAACGAGCACAUUAGGGCCCAGGACGAGAGGAUGAAUAUGAUUGUUCAGGCCUUAGCAAUGUCCAGCCUCCAAAUCUCGAUGCCAGCACCUGAUCUUGCUCCAUCUUCGACUUCCCAGCCACUUCGCCCAGCCGAUACCCAGUAGUAUGAUGUAUUAAACCUAGAAAACUUGUAGUUUUUUCUUUUUUGUUCGGACAU
Pyrus x bretschneideri (Chinese white pear) is the source of this 740-nucleotide long non-coding RNA. RefSeq lists it as uncharacterized. The transcript has 3 exons. The record is from RefSeq and is a predicted model, not a curated record. NCBI's taxonomy places the organism in Eukaryota, Viridiplantae, Streptophyta, Magnoliopsida, Rosales, Rosaceae.